This 348-nucleotide ribosomal RNA is filed under the name Triticum aestivum (bread wheat). RNAcentral describes it as "partial small subunit ribosomal RNA". The record is from RNAcentral. Lineage: Eukaryota; Viridiplantae; Streptophyta; Magnoliopsida; Poales; Poaceae.
AUGAUGGACCUCAAGAGUGUGUAUCACAGUAUGAUCUUUAGGACAGUUUAUGCAUGGAUUCAUGAGAGAGGGAGUGCAGCACCCGAGCUUCACUGCUCUCUAUAUUUAAAAAUUUUGAAAUUCGUGUUUUGGAAGUUUCAAAAAUAUGACAAUUUUCCUGGGGAUACAUAUACACAUUCUGAAUACCCGUGGCAAAGUUUUGGUAGAAAUCUCACUUUGUUUUGGGCUAUAGAAAAAAAAAUUCUGACAAUGUAUAAGAAAAGGGGUGCCAUUUUUGUCAGGAAUUUCUCUUUUUUGUAUUUCUCAAAAUACAAAGUAUUUCUCUUUAAGAUUUUUACCGGGCCUUAG